This 2774-nucleotide long non-coding RNA is filed under the name Piliocolobus tephrosceles (Ugandan red Colobus). Its description in RNAcentral is "lncRNA (ENSPTEG00000005154.1)". The record is from RNAcentral. Lineage: Eukaryota; Metazoa; Chordata; Mammalia; Primates; Cercopithecidae.
UGUAUAGGAUAUAUAUCCCUUGUAUACUAUAGAUAUAUAUGUAUUAUAUGAACAUGUUUGUUCAACUAUAUUUUGUAAUGCUUUUAUAACAACUCACUAUGAUUCUUUUAUAUAUAUUGUACUAAUAUAUAUAUUUUUGUCUUCUAUAAAUUUCAAGUGAAUCCUUUAACAUCUUUGUUUUGUUUUUUCUCUUUUUACAUUUUUAACAUUACCUUUUAAUAUUGAUUACAAUAAAAUUUUUAUUUUCAUGUUUUGUUGCAUUCAUAUAUUACAUUGCUAUUGUUACUAUUAUUAUUAUCACUAUUAUUAACACUAUUAUUAUUAUCACUAUUAUUACAAUUAUUAUUAUUAUGUAGAGUUUUUAAAAUUUUGCCUUUUUUUUUUUUUUUUUUUUUUUUGCAUUUUAAAGCUGUUCAAGUAGAUUAGCCUAUCAUUUUUUGAUUAGAGACAAAUGCAGUAUUAAAAGGGAAACAAAACAAAACAAAACAAAUAAACAAAUAAACAAAUAAACAAACAAAUAAACAAAUAAACAAAUAAACAAAUAAACAAACAAACAAAUAAACAAACAAACAAAACAAACGGAAUAUACAUAAUAAUGCGGAAUAUAAUCAACAGUAAAAAUGUCUGACUCUGCGUAUGGAUUUAUGGAAAAUGUAGUACACAUAACAGGGUAUCUGCAUCGUUUGUUAUUUCUUAUGAUAGAACUUGAUAAAAAAGGACAUAAUAUGAAUAAGACUAUACAAAAAAAAGAAGAAAUUUAUAUUGAUAAUUUAAAUUGUAUUCGUAAAGGAAAAACUUCAAAAUAUCAUAAACGUAGUUAUGAUAAAAAAAGAAACGAAUCAAAACUUCACAAAAGGAGUUCAAAUAAGUACAAUGAAGGAAAUAAUAAUUACAACAACGGGUCAAACGAAUAUAAUAAUAUAAAUACUAAAAAUAAUGAUAUAAAUAAUUUUGAAAAAAAUAAUAUAACAAACAAAUUAAUGUAUAAUGAAGGUUUAUUUGAAAAUACACCAACUUUAAAAAUACGUGUACGUUCUAGUAAAGAUAUGGUAGAUAAUAAUAUUAUUAUGGCUAAUAAUGAAAACACAAAAUACGAAAAUUUAAUGACACCAUAUAUAAAUAAUAAUAACAAUAACAAUAAUAAUAAUAAUAAUAAUAAUAUAUCAGAAGAAAAUGCAAAUAAUAUCAACCUAAAUGAUAACAAUAAAAUUAAUAUUACAAAACCGAAUACCAACAUAUACGGUGAAUGUAGUAAUGAAUUUUAUUAUAUAGAAAAUAAAAAAACCGAAUGUGAAUUUAUCAACAAUGACAACAAUAAUAACAACAACAAUGACAACAAUAAUAACANNNNNNNNNNCAAUGACAACAAUAAUAACAACAACAAUGACAACAAUAAUAACAACAGUAAUAACAAUGUUAGUAAUCCGAAUAAACAAAAUAAUGCGAACUUAAAAGAUUUUAAUCUUAUUUCUACUCAAAAUGAGAAAAUCGAAAAAAGGGAAUUGAUAAACAACAGUACUAUAAUUACUGGUGAUAUUUCUAACAUGACUUUAAACCAAAAUAGUAAUACAACAAAACAAGAACAAAUAAAUAUAGAUGAAAAUAAUAUAAAAAAUAGUAUAGAAAAUAAGAUUAUUUCAUUAUUAACAGAAAAAAAUUUGGAAAUUUAUAAUAAAAAUAUUAAGUUAACAAAAGAAAUAAAUAAAAAUAUAAACAAAGAAAAUAUUGUUACUGAUGUAUUAUCACCACAAACAUCUAUACAACUUAAAUUAAAAAAUGAAUAUAUAAAAGAGAUAAAUAUAGAAAAAGAGGAAAACAAAAAUGACCAUAUAAAACAAUGUCCAGUAGUAUAUACAGAGCAAGAAUUAAAUACAUGUUAUAAUGAUAUAGUAAAUGAUAGAGAACAAUGUAUUGCUUUAUUAAGAGAAAAGAUUUGUAUAAAUAAUCAAAUAUCACAUAUGAUUAAAAACUAUUAUGAAAAAUUAAAAAAACAAUAUGAUCAAUUAUAUACAGAAAUGGAAAUGAAUGGAGAAUCACCUCUUAACUUAUACAAUUUAAAUAAAAAUAAAUAUUUUUAUUCCGAAUAUGAUGAUUAUUAUUAUAAUAAUAAUAAUAAUAACAUUGAAAACGAUUAUAUUAACAAUAACAAUAUUAAUAACAAUAUUAAUAACAAUAACAAUAUUAAUAAUAGCUAUAAUAACAGUAAUGUAAAAAAUAAAAAUGAAAACUUACGUAGAGCUAAGAGUACUGUUAGUUACGCAAAUACAAAUUACACAUACGAUAUAUACGACUAUGAUAAAUUUAAAGACGAAUAUGAUGAUGAUGAUGAUAGUUAUGUAGUUAAUAAAACACAUGGAAGAAAACAUUCCAUUAAAUAUGAUGAAGAAUAUAAUCCUUAUAGUGUAGACAGAAGUAAAAAAAAUAAAAAAAUAAAAAAAAGUAAAAGUUUAAGUCAUGUUAAUAAUAACACAAGUAAAUAUUUAAAAAUGAUAAAUGAAAAAACUAAUAUUAGUAACAAUACUAUAAUUAAUAAAGAUGCUAAUAUAGAUAAUAAUAAAUAUGUCAAUAAUGUUAAUAAUGUUAAUAAUAAAGAUAUUUAUAACACAACUAAUCAAAAUGAAAAUAUAAAAAAUGUCAACUACAUACAUAAAGUACGAAUAAAUAUACAAUCGGUCAAACACAAAUUUAACAAAAAUACUCCCAUCGAAUUAAAUAACGAAAAAAAAUAUUAACAAUAUAAAACAAAAUAAAGAUGACCAUUCAUAUAAUAUGCA